This 490-nucleotide ribosomal RNA is filed under the name uncultured bacterium. RNAcentral describes it as "bacterial SSU rRNA". It matches the Rfam family "Bacterial small subunit ribosomal RNA", at positions 29 to 507 of the family's 1533-position model. The record is from RNAcentral.
AUGAACGCUAGCUACAGGCUUAACACAUGGCAAGUCGAGGGGCAGCAUGAUUGAAGCUUGCUUCAAUUGAUGGCGACCGGCGCACGGGUGAGUAACACGUAUCCAACCUUCCGUACACUCAGGGAUAGCCUUUCGAAAGAAAGAUUAAUACCUGAUGGUAUCUUAAGCACACAUGUAAUUAAGAUUAAAGAUUUAUCGGUGUACGAUGGGGAUGCGUUCCAUUAGGUAGUAGGCGGGGUAACGGCCCACCUAGCCUACGAUGGAUAGGGGUUCUGAGAGGAAGGUCCCCCACAUUGGAACUGAGACACGGUCCAAACUCCUACGGGAGGCAGCAGUGAGGAAUAUUGGUCAAUGGGCGUUAGCCUGAACCAGCCAAGUAGCGUGAAGGAUGACGGCUCUAUGAGUUGUAAACUGCUUUUGUACUAGGGUAAACUCACCUACGUGUAGGUGACUGAAAGUAUAGUACGAAUAAGGAUCGGCUAACUCCGUG